Molecule: long non-coding RNA, 225 nt
Filed under: Nicotiana benthamiana
Lineage: Eukaryota; Viridiplantae; Streptophyta; Magnoliopsida; Solanales; Solanaceae
Description: long non-coding RNA (NBEN_LNC000749)
Source: RNAcentral
UGGCCCCAAAGCCGAAGCCACCGUGCACCUCAUCAUAGCCACCAGCCUCAACCCCAAUAUGGUUAUUAAAGUCCCCUCCAAUAACUAACUUCUCAGAUUGGGGAAUACUACCCACCAGAUCAUCCGAGUCCUCCCAAAAGCGCCUUUUAGCCUCCUCGUCUGAGCCUGCUUGCGGCGCGUAAGCGCUGAUGGCGUUGAGGACGCCACCCCCAAUAACCAGCUUAA